RNAcentral lists this ribosomal RNA (201 nucleotides) under uncultured bacterium. Its description in RNAcentral is "partial 16S ribosomal RNA". It matches the Rfam family "Bacterial small subunit ribosomal RNA", at positions 336 to 526 of the family's 1533-position model. The record is from RNAcentral.
CUCCUACGGGAGGCAGCAGUGGGGAAUAUUGGACAAUGGGGGAAACCCUGAUCCAGCGACGCCGCGUGUGUGAAGAAGGCCUGCGGGUUGUAAAGCACGUUUUAGUGGGGAUGAAAAGUUCAGGGCUAAUACCUCUGGAUCUUGACCUAACCCACNGUAAAAAGCACCGGCUAAACUCUGUGCCAGCAGCCGCGGUAAUAC